Molecule: ribosomal RNA, 500 nt
Filed under: uncultured bacterium
Lineage: Bacteria
Description: bacterial SSU rRNA
Rfam family: Bacterial small subunit ribosomal RNA
Source: RNAcentral
GGUUCAGGAUGAACGCUGGCGGCGUGCUUAAUACAUGCAAGUCGAACGAAGCACUUAUGACAGAUCCCCUCGGGGUAAAGACGUUUGUGACUGAGUGGCGGACGGGUGAGUAACGCGUGGGUAACCUGCCUUAUGCAGGGGGACAACAGUUGGAAACGACUGCUAAUACCGCAUAAGCGCACGGCACCGCAUGGUGCAGUGUGAAAAGAUUUAUCGGCAUAAGAUGGACCCGCGUCUGAUUAGGUAGUUGGUGAGGUAACGGCCCACCAAGCCGACGAUCAGUAGCCGACUUGAGAGAGUGAUCGGCCACAUUGGGACUGAGACACGGCCCAGACUCCUACGGGAGGCAGCAGUAGGGAAUAUUGCACAAUGGGGGAAACCCUGAUGCAGCCGACGCCGCGUGAGUGAUGAAGUAUUUCGGUACGUAAAGCUCUAUCAGCAGGGAAGAUAAUGACGGUACCUGACUAAGAAGCCCCGGCUAACUACGUGCCAGCAGCAGC